UACGUAGGGUGCAAGCGUUGUCCGGAAUUAUUGGGCGUAAAGAGCUCGUAGGCGGUCUGUCGCGUCGGCUGUGAAAACUCGGGGGCUCAACCCCGAGCCUGCAGUCGAUACGGGGCAGACUAGAGUGCUGUAGGGGGAGACUGGAAUUCCUGGUGUAGCGGUGAAAUGCGCAGAUAUCAGGAGGAACACCGGUGGGCGAAAGGCGGGGUCUCUGGGGCAGUAAACUGACGUGGAGGGAGCG
This 241-nucleotide ribosomal RNA is filed under the name uncultured bacterium. RNAcentral's name for it is "partial 16S ribosomal RNA". It matches the Rfam family "Bacterial small subunit ribosomal RNA", at positions 524 to 755 of the family's 1533-position model. The record is from RNAcentral.